CCGUGGGACCUUUGUGCCGGCGGGGAGCGGCGUGUUGACGUUUCUUGCGUGUCCAUGGUGACGGCGCGGUGUCACCUCUCCGGUGUCACCUCUGCCCGGUGUCACCCCUGCUCAAAGGGGCAGGGCCCCGCUAUUUAAGGAUGCCCUAGGGCCGGGAGAGCCGUGCCAAGGACGGGGAUCCCGAGUGCUGUCGGCAUUGCUUCUUCAGGGAACUCUUCCACAGGUUUGCUCGGAGACCACUGAGGAUGUGUGACCCCAACCAAGGCCUGCCACACCCUCACCUUGCGGUGUGCCCUCCCGCCCCUCCAGGAUACCCCGGUCCUGGCACAGGUCCCUACCCUGGUGGCAUUGCAGUUUGCCCUGCUGCCCCUCCAGGACACCCCGGUCCUGGCACAGGUCCCUACCCUGGUGGCAUUGCUGUCUGCCCCCCACACCCUGCUCCACCUGGCCAGCACUCCCACGGGCACCCCCCGUUGGGGCAUCACCCUCACGGACACCAGGAGCACCAUAAGAAGCACCAUAAGAAGCACCAUAAAAAGAAGCACUGCAAGCACCAUGAAGGCAAGCACUCCGGUGGCUCAUGCAGCUCAAGCAGCAGCUCGGACUCUGACUAGAGGUCUGGCAUGUCCCACCUGCUCCAUGAUGAUCAGCAAAACAUGAGGCCAAACUCCUCGUGGGAACCCCCUGCAUGUCACUCCUCUCCCUCCCCCUUUCCCUUAGGGCAGUUUUUUUCCUGCUGAGUGAUUUUUCUUGUGUGCAAGAGCUUGUAAAUCCUUUGACCUGGAAUCUCUGAGUUAAUGGACAACAUCUCCACCCUUUAUCUUCUGGGAGAGCCUGCUGAAAGUCAUCACAUGCUGUUUUCCAAUC
Molecule: long non-coding RNA, 867 nt
Organism: Motacilla alba alba
Lineage: Eukaryota; Metazoa; Chordata; Aves; Passeriformes; Motacillidae
Exons: 4
Source: RefSeq, a predicted model, not a curated record